This 388-nucleotide ribosomal RNA is filed under the name uncultured bacterium. RNAcentral describes it as "bacterial SSU rRNA". It matches the Rfam family "Bacterial small subunit ribosomal RNA", at positions 29 to 408 of the family's 1533-position model. The record is from RNAcentral.
AUGAACGCUGGCGGCGCGCCUAAUACAUGCAAGUCGAGCGAGAAGACGUAGCAAUACGUUUGUAAAGCGGCGAACGGGUGAGGAAUACAUGGGUAACCUACCCUAGAGUGGGGAAUAACUAGCCGAAAGGUUAGCUAAUACCGCGUACGCUCCUUGGACUUCGGUUCAGGGAGGAAAGCGAUGCCGAGGGUAUCGCGCUCUUGGAUGGGCUCAUGUCCUAUCAGCUUGNGGUGAGGUAACGGCUCACCAAGGCUUCGACGGGUAGCUGGUCUGAGAGAACGAUCAGCCACACUGGCACUGCGACACGGGCCAGACUCCUACGGGAGCAGCAGUAAGGAAUAUUGCGCAAGUGGGCGAAAGCCUGACGCAGCGACGCCGCGGUGGGGGA